CAGGGUGGCCUAACUUCUUGAAAAAAAACCAACCCAAGAGAUGAGGAGAAAACAUCCUGUGCUGAGGAUAAUUGUGUUCUUGGUGACAGGAGCUUCCUCCACAUCUGCCCGUGGCAGGGGUUGCAACAAGAGGGUCUUUAAGGUUCACCCCCAACCCAAACCAGUCUGGGAUUUUAGGAUACCUUGACAGAUACAGCAAAAUCAGAUUGAUUCUGCUCACAGGCCUGAGCUGACUUUUCCCCUCAAUGGUUUAAUCUUUGAACCCCUUCAAAAUACCUCCUCAAGCAAAAAUCAGUGGGGUCAUAUUUGUAAAAGAUUACCUCGCUGGCAAGUAAAGAAAAACAAAACAAAACCCACCAGAUAAAAACCAGCUGAGUGGGCUGAAAAGAGGAUUGGGGAAGAAGCUCAGGAUAUAGCUCUGUGUCUCCAGUCUGUGCUCUGGUAGCCUCUGCCUCAGUGACUCACUUUCCUUCUGCCACAUGGGAUGAGGAUGAUUAAAUGCACCAGCAUUUGUAGAAAAACCCUCAAAACCCCAAAUCUUCCCCACAAAAGUGACAGAAAAAUCUUGAGACGUUAAGACUGCUCUCUGGCCUGGUGAGAUUCUCUAAGGAGCCAGGUAAUUGGCUUCCAACUACACUGACUGUAGUAAUAAACUGAUGUUAAGGCUGUCACUACUGAUAAAAAGGAAUUAUUGAGUCAGGCGGGAAUGAAGCAGGUGUUGCAAGACAGAGGGAGCCAUUCCAGGGGCAGCCUGUGCUUCUGCAGAGCUCCUCAAACACUCACCUGGAGGGCCUGGGAUUGCACCCAAUGCAGGAGGACCCAAGACUUAGAAAAAAGGCUUCACACUGACAAAGCCAGGGAUAGGAGCUGGAGUUAAACCUGCAUUGAAACUUCACCACUGCCUGUGGAAUGGAGACAACUCCACACCCAAGGCACUUUUGCCACGAGAAACACAGGGAGCAUUUUCCAGGACCCAGCAAUGCUCUGAGUGCCUUCUGCAGGGAGCUGAACUGCUCUUUCCCAGAAGUGGCUUCUCCAUCCGUGGAAGUGUUCCAGGCCGGGUUGGAUGGAGCAUCCUGGGUUAGUGGAAGGUGUCCCUGCCCAUUCCUUUCCAUUUCAGAACCACAGAUGGCAGCACGAGCCUGGGAAUCGCUGCUUUGCUGCUCCUACGGGGGAGCAAGGCGAUCCUAAAAACCCCCGGAGAAACCGAGCGGGAAAGUGAAUUCAAAUUAUUUGUAUAAAAAUUGGGCAAAAAUAAAAAGGGCGAAGUGCCAAGUCUUUAAAAGCCUAAAGGCAUUGAAACACUUUUUAAUAUUAAAUGUGCUAUCAGUUUAAGGAACUUCCAUUGCUUAUGUCU
Poecile atricapillus (Black-capped chickadee) is the source of this 1357-nucleotide long non-coding RNA. RefSeq lists it as uncharacterized. The record is from RefSeq and is a predicted model, not a curated record. The transcript has 3 exons. Lineage: Eukaryota; Metazoa; Chordata; Aves; Passeriformes; Paridae.